ACGACGUUGAUAGGUUGGGUGUGUAAGCGCUGUGAGGCGUUGAGCUAACCAAUACUAAUUGCCCGUGAGGCUUGACCAUAUAACACCCAAGCAAUU
RNAcentral lists this ribosomal RNA (96 nucleotides) under Pseudomonas putida. Its description in RNAcentral is "partial 23S ribosomal RNA". The stretch from base 1 to 79 matches the Rfam family "Bacterial large subunit ribosomal RNA", at positions 2847 to 2925 of the family's 2925-position model. RNAcentral also lists the same sequence under 5 other names. Lineage: Bacteria; Pseudomonadati; Pseudomonadota; Gammaproteobacteria; Pseudomonadales; Pseudomonadaceae. The record is from RNAcentral.